Molecule: small nucleolar RNA, 90 nt
Organism: Spea bombifrons (plains spadefoot toad)
Lineage: Eukaryota; Metazoa; Chordata; Amphibia; Anura; Pelobatidae
Product: small nucleolar SNORD12/SNORD106
Exons: 1
Source: RefSeq, a predicted model, not a curated record
UCUGAUGCGCGUGAUGACUAUUUUUUUCCCCGUCAGAUCGAUAAUGUUGAUUUGCGAAGCUUUUAAGCCAGUUUUGUCUGAUGCAUCAGC